UGGCUGUGUGCGUGCCAAGGGACAGU
Molecule: non-coding RNA, 26 nt
Filed under: Homo sapiens (human)
Lineage: Eukaryota; Metazoa; Chordata; Mammalia; Primates; Hominidae
Source: RNAcentral